CUAAACAUGUUGCUUGUAGUUUUUUUUUUUUUCUUCCUUGCCUACUGAUCUUAAGAUCCAAUAGUUGGUGUAUAACAGAUCACCCAAUCUGCAUCUCUUUGGAUCUGUUACGUCUUUACUACCAUUAACUUCUAACUUUACUGUGUUAAACAACUAUCAGGUCUAAUCUCAUAUAAAAAACAAAUUGCCCUGUGACACAAGGAUGAUAACAUAGUUCAGCUGAUAACCACUGAUGAACAGAGCUUGUCUUUCGCUCCUAUCUGAGAUGUCACAAUGCUAGAAAUGUGUCAAUUUUAUAUAUUGUAUCCAUGAUUCUAACAUAAAGAUCCUUUACAGAUGAAAGGCAACAUGGAUGACCAUAUGAAAGCGCAUCAACAAAAUGGUAUGUAUAGUUAAUUUUAUAACCAAACACUUAUCAGUCUAGUUUAGGACUUGCUAGACAUGCAAUUUUAAUCUACUCCCCACUUAGUCUCUAACACAAAUGAAAUGCUUAUACUGUUAAAGGUUUAUUGUCACUUCAAAUAGUGCAGAUGACCCAUCUUAUCUACCAAUAAACCUGAAUGAUGAUUCACACAGACUUGACAUUUCCAUGGAGGUCUGUAAUUAGCUCUAUCUGAUUCUGGGUUAAAAGUUGCUGCUCUGAUUUGUUGAAUUGUGUCAACCAUAACUUAAAAUCUAUUUCUAUUUUAGUGACCUGAACUGCAACCAUUACACCCUGACUAGUAAGUUACUUCUCAUAGAAUUCUUCCUACUUGCAUGAUCUCACUCUAAAAAAUCCUAAAUCAGACCUACAGAAAGAGGCCAGCAUAUCUAAAUUUUCUUAGUUCACCCAUUGCAUGGUGCUAUAGAAUACUAAUCUCUUGUGUAAAAUAAAAUCAAUACAGCACUGGGAAACUUGCUGACAGACUUAAAACUAAAAGUGUAGCAGAGACCCACUAACUAGUUGACUUUUAGUGCUAAGCGGUUUUAGGUGUAACACAACCUCACUGGCUUAGAAUGAUGCUUCAAAUGUCUGACCUGAAUUCAAUGUUGACUUCACUAAAUACUGACCUGAUCCAUAGAGGUUGUCUGUUAUUGUGACAUGCAUAUUGUUCUGGUAUUCUAACCUAACACUUGCAUGCUUUUUCUUUUGUAGGUGCAGAAGUAACUGGAAAUUGCAUGGUACGUCUCACUAGAAGUGUGGUCUUGCUUCACAAUAUUGUAAACCAGUUUCUUGGUACAAAAUUCAACUUUGCUGGGCUGUUCAGACUGUUUCUAGCUACCAAAUAGGCUAGAAUUUAUUUUCUUAAUUUAGAAUGUCCAAUGUAGCUGUAAAAAUGAACUUCUCUAAGUGCAGUCUUAAGAACUUGGCAAUGUGAUGCUGGUGGCCAUUGAUGAAAAUGAUUCUGCCAUAUGAGUAAAACUGAUUAUACUCCAACCGUUCCACUUUUUUCUGAGGUACCAGCCUAAAUAUAACUGCACUUAAAGGAGCUAUGAUAUUAAGCUUAUUUAUGCUAAUAUGUUCUCUAAAACAGGGGUGCCCAAAAGGAGAUCUGACCAUUACUAUGCUGCUUGCCAUUCUAAAGUCUGGCAAAGCAUCAUGAAAUUUUAGCUUUUAAACAUGAGUGAUACCUGGUGUAAUGACUUCUAUACAUUAACAUACUCUCUCCUUGCAGGUUGCACAUGGAUUGUGUUUCUGUAAAUUGGUAAGUUAAGUUUGUCACUAUAUCAAAGCUUAGAUCUCUGACUCUGGAAUCUUUAAUGAGGGGCACAAGGGCAGAUCUUCUUAGAAAUGCCUAUCGCUGGCAAGAAAUGAGUUCAAUGCCUUAAACUAGCUUUUAAAAAUAGCGAGAUGACAUGUUUGAAAACACUGCUCAUUUUUAAUCUUCCCCUGCCUGGUUUCAUGACAGAGCAUGCAUCUUAACAGAGCAGAUACUGAUAUCAAAGAUAGCACUUGAGGCUUUUUAACCUUGACUAGUAUGCAGCAUACAUGGUGCACUUCUAGGAAUCUCUGCCCUUAAUCAGAAAGCUAAAGUGCCUGCCUAUGAUGUUUUUCAAGAGUAGUGGACAGAAUUUAUUUCUGACAAUUUUUAUGAACACUGAGGCUUUGCACUUGACCCAGUACUAGAAGGCCCAAUAUUGGCAUUUUUGAUCAGAUUAUUUAAACUAUGUGCUUCUUUGCUCCAUAUAUUAACUAAAUUAUUACCUCAAAGGUGAACCAGUCUGCUGGACUGAAGCAAAACCAAGAACAUGUGGAAUAACCAGGCUACACUACAAACCUUGCCGGGAUAAAUGAACGUUUAAGGGCUUCAAUAACACUGGUAAGAAUGUGACUUGACUCUAAUCCUGCUUCUGGUAGCGGCCAAGGAUACAUGAUGAAUCCAUAGUUCAGCUGACUGCUGUGAUGAACAGUCUUUCGCUCCUAUCUGAUUCAUCCUUGUCUGUUUACACAUGGUCUUGAUAUUUAUGAUUUUGACAGUUUGUAUAAUAUGCAUUUAUCUUGUUUUGCAGAUGGCUGUCUUGGACCACUUUAAAUUUAAAAUGCCACUUUAAGGUAAGACCACAUAGCCUCAGUUAUAGUAGUCUUGUAUCUUGCAUUAAGCUGCUCGUGUAACCAAUGAUGAAAACGAUUCUGCCAUAUGAAUCCUGAUUUCACUCUUUACCGUUCCACUUUAUUCUGAGGUUACAUGAGGUUUUGGAGACUGCAUUGAAAUGACCUACCUUGGCUUUUCAGAUGGUUAAAUAACCUGCUAGAACACAGUUGUUAGUACCUGGGUAUCCAAUAGCUAACUUGUCUUAUGGUUUUGUCUUGCAAGCAGAUCAGACAAGAGCAGCCAGGCUGAAGUUGGAAUUACAAUUGGCUGAGCCAUGAAUACUCUUGGCCCCUUUGUGAUAACAUGGCACAUCUCUCUACCAGUUGUCUGAAGUCUUGAAUUAGGUAAGUAGACUGUCUACCUUAUGUCUACCUUGGGGUACAUGAUGACAUCUACUUUGAACUCUCUCCCUGAGAUUCAGAUGAAAACAAAAGUACUGAUCCCCCUAGUGUAACCAUUGAGCAGCUUCCAUUGUAUUCCAACACAAACUUCAUUUUUAAUUUUAAAUAUUUUUUUUCCCCACAGAUCUGAGACUUCAUAUUCAAAGUGAUCUCAAAAGGCAACUGACCAUUUAAUGUAAAGCGAACUGUGUUGAGCAGUGGCUUGAAGGACCGUUCUCAAUUUAUAAUGGGUUUCUCUGAAGAGGUUAAGAGUUCUGCUUCAUGACUUGUUAUCAAAGUAAUGUUCUUUGCAAAGCUGUCAUGACUUGUGAAAUGCUGAAUUAAAUAAAGCUUACUAGAAUUCAAAUGUAAUCUUGUCUUACUGUAUCCUUUCUGAUGCUGAUCAGUGGCAUUAGCCAUCCUAAAAUCUGAAAAUAAUAAAAUUUGGCUGCAUCAUUAAAGGACCUUAUGUUGUAUAGCUCAAGCUUUGAAUAACUAGAGUAACACAUUCCUCUAAAACUACAGGACUUGUAUAGGCAAGUGUUUUGAGCUGGCAGAUACCAUCCAAUGAGGCUCUACCAAUUGGGUCUGGCAUUCUGGGCUGCUGUCUGGUAUACUCCAAAACCAAUAUACUACACACCUGAACAAAGGCAUCCACGGUAAAAGACCACUUGCCUAUAGAUGCAUUGACUUGGGAAGCAAUAGCAACGGAGUUUUGUCUCUACUCCCUAGUAUUGAGAUGUGUUAAUACUCUGCUCCUGACUGUCUUUGAUCACCUAAUGUAAAGAAUUAAUGUCUGGCUGUCAGAGCGAAAAUGUGCUGGAGGAUCAGUAAAAAAAGUUAAAUUAAAAUCCCACCCCUUCCCUGCCAGUUGAUCACUGACUACAGUGAUCCGCAGGGUAUACAUUUUAGUCUGAACCCCUGAGGGUCAACUUUUUUGUAGACCUCAGGUGUUUAAUUUAAUAACUUGAAUAUUAAAAUAGUAUAUAGCUAGCUGGGGUGGAAGUUAGUGGAGAAAUAGGUGUUAGGCUAGAGGUUAACACUAAAAGUUACAAAAGUUUAUUUGAAAUUCCCACCCUCCUUUACCCAGUCCUAAUAAAAAUUAACCCCUUAACUGACAGUUGAUCACUACCUACAGUGAUCAAUUUUAUUUUACACACUUCAGGGGUUCAAUUAAAUUGCUUUAAAUAUUAAUGACUUGCUAGCUGGGGUGAGUGGGAGUUUUGGGGAAUUUACAGUUAGUGCUGCUUACUGCAAAUGUUAAAUCUGUAAAAAAUUUGAAAGCUUAGUUAAUCAAAAGUUUAAAAACUAGUAAAAUUUUUAUAAAUACUCUACCACUACAUGUGGCACAAAUUAGAGGAAGAAAAAUCUAAACUACACCACAAUAGAACAUGCACCCAGUUUUCCUUUGUGUCCAUCUCAAAUGUGCCCCUUCAAUAUUCAUAUAUACCUUGCAAAGGUACAUACAGGGGUGUUGGUGUACUCAGACAACACAGCUGAGCAACAUAUGAAGUAUUGGUCAUAGCACACAUACUACUUGCAAAAUAUACUGUGCAAACGCACUCAAAGGCAGGAAAUAAACACUUACCACUACACUUGGUACAAGCUAGCAGGAAAAAUUAUACCGUGCUAAGGCUCAAAAUAUGCCUUUUGAAACACUCUGGGAUGUGUUUAAGAAAUGGUAUGCCUUUAUGGUGUAGUUGUAAUAUGUAGCCUGCUCAAGUGCUCCAAAGUGGGACAUUGACACAUCAAAACUCUCCAUGAAAAUUUGCUUAAAGACCUGAACUUGUUACAUCUUUUACAGCACUGUAACUUCAAAAAUAGUGUCUGGUCAUACUUUAGGCAUAUUGUGUUACUCAGAAGACUUAGCUGAGCAUAAUUUGGGGGGGUUUGAAAUCUACAAAAUGCCCAUCAAAAAUGUAACCUGUAAGUAAAGAAUUUUUACCACAUACUUUGGCAUAUAUUUAAAAAUGGGGAAUGUUAAGGCACAAUAUGCAUCAUAUAAAAUACCCUGGAGUGUCUACUUUUACAAAUAGUAGGCCUUUGUGGGUUUCAUACUGGCACAGCGCUGACCACCCUCAGAGCGCGGAAUUUAAGGCUCUCAACUGGCUGAGCAUAACAUUUACCACCUAUAUAUUAUCUGCCUGUUUGCACAUACACCAUCCAUUUCUCCUUUUGUCUCCCUGUCAGUGUGGAGGUACAUCUCAGGAAGGGGUGUGUUGCUGCCCAAAGAGCACAUAGGCUUGCAUACAGAACCAAUAUUAUAUAGGCUCCAGACCAUGUGAGUGGUUUCAUUUUUUUUUUUUACUUUUUACUUCCAUCACUCAUUUUCACCAAAACCAUCUACACUUUUUUCCCCUUUACCUUCAUUGUAUGUUUAAAAGCAUAUUCCUGAAUUUAAGACUACACAAAAUUGUUGGGGUAAGUGAACCCCUCUAUCACUUUUAUUUGUAUUAGCGCUCCACUAAGUGGUGUAUUUUACACCACAUUUUUAUAUAUUGUGGAAAUAAGGGUAUUCCACUUUGUGUUUAAACUGCUUAGUGUAUUAGGCACUGAAUAGUUUCACCCAACACACCUGUAAAGAGGGUUGGUUUUGUUAAAAUGGUUUCCAACCCUGAAUGAAAAUGUACACGGCCGGAAACACAUUUUGUAAAUGGCUUUUGAAAAUUAAAUGGGUUUCAGAAUCAAUUUACUUAUCAUUGUGAAAGUCUCCCACUAGUCCCACAGAACCCUAUGCACACACACCUACUUACAUGGUCCCCAUAAGUUUCUGGUGGCAGUCGCUUCCUUGCAUUGUGUUCUGGCACCAGAAUGAAAGUCAACCCCCCCCCCCCUACAAAUAUUUGUGCCUGGUUAGUCCUGAAACUUACACUCAUUCAGUACUUCAGCCAGCAUCUAAUCAUUACAACAUAAAGUGGAUUGAGCAGCUUUCUACAGGAAAACAUAACUAAUCAAAUUUAACGUCCCCCUUUAAUGUCUUGUAGCUUCAUAGCUCCCACCCUGUGAUAUUGGGUAUAAUCGGAUUAUUCACCAAAGUGAACUGUCAGGAGUGAUAACUUCUAGUGUAAUGCCUCCAGCCUACAAUCUGACCUGGGAGUUCUAUUCAUGGAAUGAUCCUGUUACUGCAUGAUUCUUGCAUAUUGACACACAACUUGGAUUUUAUUUUGUGUAAACUCUGAAUCUCCAAACAUUACAUUAAAUAUAACUUAACUUUCUGAACAUCAUUUCACCAAAACAUGAAUUCCCUGCCCAGUAUUCUGUGCUGCACAGUAUUUAGAGGAAUUAGAAAAAAAAAAAAGUAAAAUGUAAAGAAAAUUGUUUUUUUGGGGGUAAGAUCCCCUAAGCCCAGUGUGAGAGCAGUGGAUGUGGGUUAGUAAUGACUGUUUCUAGAAUAGUCCCACAUUCUCCCUCAGCUUUCAUUGUCUAUGGAGGUCACGUGGUUUUAAACCUGGUGGCACCAGCACAGAACGUUAGCCCCGCCCACAUCGACCUGUGGAUUUCCUCGUGAUCUCUGAUCCUGCUUACUAGCUGCUCAAAAAGGGGCGUGGCCACAGACCAGUUGCUUAAAAAGGGCGUGGCUGUAAAAGGGGAGCUACAGAGAAAGGUGCGACGUUGCGCAAUGUGGCCGAUGUGACGUCACUCACCUCGUUAAAGGAGACUUCCCUGGCGAACACGCCCCGAAGAGGCGUGGUUAUAGAAGGUGCACGCGGGGAUUGCCUUCUGUGGGCCAGAGAGAGCUAGAGUGUCUGUCUCCCUGUGUCCGUCCGCCCGCGCUCUCCGCUACCCCCGGUCAUGGACCCUGCCCUGCUAGAGGUAAGAGACCAGCCAAUAACGGGCCACGUGGGGGAUCUCACUCCAUGCAUGCUGCUGGGUGUAAUGUGCUGCCAGUACCAGGGGUAAUAGCCUGCAAGGGGGACUGCACAUGAUCUGCCCCCAUUGUGUACUAAGGGGUAACAGCCUGCACCCCCCAUUGUGUACAAAGGGGUAACAGCCUUCACCCCCCAUUGUGUACAAAGGGGUAACAGCCUGCACCCCCCAUUGUGUACAAAGGGGUAACAGCCUGCACCCCCCAUUGUGUACAAAGGGGUAACAGCCUGCACCCCCCAUUGUGUACAAAGGGGUAACAGCCUGCACCCCCCAUUGUGUACAAAGGGGUAACAGCCUGCACCCCCCAUUGUGUACAAAGGGGGGUAAACGGUCUGCUCCCCCCCCCACUGGGGGUAAUAGUGUGCAAGGGUGACCCCAGAGGAACUGCACCCAUUCGGUACUGGGAGUGAUAGUCUGCAAGAGUGAUCUCUAUGUAAUCAGAGGAGACCCCAAAUGAACUGUCUCAGGUUCUGCUAUUUGUUUACCCUUUUGGCUACACUGGGAGCAGGGCCGUCUUAAAUAAUGGUUGGACCCUGGGCAAGCAUUUGCUUGGGCCUCCUGGACCCUGCCUCCCUGGAAUGCAAUCUGUGUGUUACUAACAGACAUACGGACAGACAUACUGAUACACACACCUACUGACAGACCUACUAAAACAAAUAGACAUGUAUACAAGUACUGACACACAUACACUGACAAGUGGCUGAGGGUCUGCAAGAAUUUUAUUUGGACCACCUUUUAGCACAAGGGUGGCCAAAAUGUAGAUCCCUAUCUGUCAUAUAAGUCCACAAUGCUUUGCUGGCUUGGGAUCUACAAUUUGCCCAUCCUUGCAGGGUUGUAUUUAGCACUGAGCAGUGUGUGUGUGUGUGUGUGUGUGUGUGUGUGUGUGUUUUUGAAUGUAAGCAUGGUUUUGUUAGGAGUAUGUGUGUGAAUGUUGGCUUUUAAAUGCAGGCGUGCAUUUGUGUGUAGUGUUUAAACUUCCACACACAAAUACACAGACACAUGCUGCAACAGACCUGCAAAUACAGACACAAAGCUACACCCACUGGUACUUACACACAGAUACAUACACAGACUUCCGUUUGGGAAGUAAGUGUUGAGGGUAGGUGAGCAUGCCACAGUUAAGGAGUAAGCGUGACAGGAUUAGGGGUUUGAAUGUGAGUGUUGGGGGUUUCUAAGUGAUUGAGAGGGUGGCUUGUGUGACUGGGUUAGGAGGGCUAGUGAGGCAGGGCUGGGGGGGUGGUGCGUUAGUGAGACGGUAUUCAGGAACAUCUGCAUGGCAAACUGCUCUAAGGAACUAGUGCUUAAUGGAGUUGCACAUGUUUUACUAAUGCCACAAUGAUAACACUUAUUUGCUACUCUUGACUGACUGACGAGAAAGCGGAACACCAAAUCUUGUUUUGAGGCAUAUCAAGGCAGGCUUAAUUGGCCACUAAAUAAAACAUUAUCUCAACUUUGCUUUCCUUUUCCUUCCCAGGUGUUCAUUCCCACUCUCUACGGCUUGCAUGUCCAGUCUCAGGAUUACAUGUGAGUUUUGAUAAUGGUAGUAACGGCAAAAUACAUAGUGCAAUCCUUUAAACUUGUACUGCGUGAUGAUUUGAAUUUAUCAAUGGGAAUCUCUCUGAAAAAGGAUGAGGGAGAACUUUAUACUGACUUGGUACAUAGAACUAAAGGAACACUCAAAGUACCAUAAACCCUACAAGCUGCUGUGCCCUGUGCUGCCAGGAGUGCCCUUGUGUAACAAUGGUAAACUUGUCAAAUACUAAAACAGUUUUGAAAACUUGCCUGUGGCUGCAUCUUGAGAUGGUGCUCUAGGUCAACAACCAGUCGUGCAUUUGCCUGCUGUGCUGUACAGAGCAAUCCAGUUGCAGGAAGUGCUGAUGUCUGUCUGGAAGACCCAGGUAAACUAUCAAACUGUACUAAAAUGUCUUGCCAGGGCAUUCCAGGCACCCUAGGGCACAGCAGUCUGUAUUGGUAGUGGUGUUUGGAAUAUUGAUCUAAUGCUUACAGUGGAUUGAUUUUUGUUUUCUUAGGUGUGCAACUCUCGAUGAUGCCUAGAAACAUGGUACCAGGUUUGUAGUCUUUUUACACAUAUUCUUUGUGCAAUAAUGGUUCAGUGGUACUGUAAAGGUCUGGAUUUUAGCUAGCUGUGCAUAUUGGAAAAUAGACCUUAACUGUGCCAUGGCUAAACAUGUUGCUUGUAGUUUUUUUUUUUUUUGCCUACUGAUCUUAAUUUCCGAUAGUUGGUGUAUAACAGAUUACCCAAUUUGCGUCUCUUUGGAUCUGUUACAUCUUUAACACCGUAAAGUUAGCAAUUAAUGACAAUUAGGUCUAAUCUCAUAUAAAAAACAAAUUGCCCUGUGACACAAGGAUGAUAACAUAGUUCAGCUGAUGCCCACUGAUGAGCAGAGCUUGUCUUUCGCUCCUAUCUGAGAUGUCACAGUGCUAGAAAUGUGUCAAUUUUAUAUAUUGUAUCCAUGAUUCUAACAUAAAGGUCUCUUACAGAUGCAAGGAAAAAUGAAUGACCACAUGAAAGCACAUCAAUAAAAUGUAUGUAUUUUUAAUUUUCUAACCAAAUUCUUAUCAGUCUAGGAUUUGCUAGACAUGCAAUUUUAAUCUACUCCCCACUUAGUCUCUAAAACUAAUUAAAUGCUUAUACUGUUCAAGGUUUGUGCUCAAAAUGUCUACUGCCACUUCAAAUAGUGCAGAUGACCCCAUCUUUUCUACCAAUAAACCUGUAUGAUCAACAGACUUGACAUUUCCAUUGAGGUCUGUAAUUAGCUCUAUCUGAUUCUGGGUUAAAAGUUGCUGCUCUGAUUCGUUGAAUUGUCACCAUAACUUAAAAUCGAUUUCUAUUUUAGUGACCUGAACUGCAACCAUUACACCCUGACUAGUAAGUUACUUCUCAUAGAAUUCUUCCGAUUUGCUUGACCUCAGUCUAAAAUAAAAAAAAUCAGACAUACAGGAAUAGAAAAUAGUGGCCAGUAUGUCUAAAUCUUCUUAGUUCACCUAUUGCAUGGUGCUACAGAAUGCUAAUCUUUUAAAAAAAAAAAAAAUCAAUACAGCACUGGGAAACUUGACUAACAUGAAACAAAGUGUAGCAGAAACCCAUUGUAACCAGUUGGCUAUUGGUUUUAGGUCUAACACAACCUCACUGGCUUCAAAUGUCUGACUUGAAUUCAUUGUUGACUCCACUAAAUAAUGACCUGAUCCAUAGAAGGUUGUCUGUUAUUGCAAAAUGCAUACUGUUCUGGUAUUCUAACAUAACACAUGCAUGUUCUCUUGUAGGUGCAGAAGUAGCUGGAAAUUGCAUGGUACGUCUCACUAUAGAAGUAUGGCCUUUCUUCACAAUCUUGGAAAAUCCAGUUUCUUGGUUUAAAAUAUAAAUUCUGAAGGGUUAUAUCCUAUGGCUGUUCAGACUGUUUUUAGCUAACAAAUCAGCUAGAAUUUUUUCUCUGAAUGUUUAAAGCUGUAAAUAGUUUUCAAAGUGCAAUCUUAAGAACUUGGCAAUGUGAUGCUGGUGGCCGUUGAUGAAAAGGAUUCUGCCAAAUGAGUAAAACUGAUUAUACUCCAACCGUUCCACUUUUUUCUGAGGUACCCAGCCUAAAUAUAACUGCACUUAAAGGAGCCAUGAUAUUAAGCUUAUUUAUGGUAAUAUAUUCUCUAAAACAAAACAGGGGUGCCCAAAAGGAGAUCUGACCAUUACUAUGCUGCUUGCCAUUCUAAAGUCUGCCAAAGCAUCAUGAAAUUUUAGCUUUUAAACAUGAGUGAUACCUGGUGUAAUAUGACUUCUAUACAUUAACAUACUCUCUCCUUGCAGGUUGCACAUGGAUUGUGUUUCUGUAAAUUGGUAAGUUAAGUUUGUCACUAUAUCAAAGCUUAGAUCUCUGACUCUGGAAUCUUUAAUGAGGGGCACAAGGGCAGAUCUUCUUAGAAAUGCAUAUCGCUGGCAAGAAAUGAGUUCAAUGCCUUAAACUAGCUUUUAAAAAUAGCUAGAUGACAUGGUUGAAAACACUACUCAUUUUUAAUCUUCCCCUGCUUGGUUUCAUGACAGAGCAGGCAUCUUAACAGAGCAGAUACUGAUAUCAAAGAUGACACUUGAGGCUUUUUAACCUUGACUAGUAUGCAGCAUGCAUGGUGCACUUCUAGGAAUCUCUGCCUUUAGUCAGAAAGCUAAAGUGCCUGCCUAUGAUGUUUUUCAAGAGUAGUGGACAGAAUUUAUUUCUGACAGUUUUUAUGAACACUGAGGCUUUGCACUUGACCCAGUACUAGAAGGCCCAAUAUCGGCAUUUUUGGCCAGAUUAUUUAAAUAAUGUGCUUCUUUGCUCCAUAUAUUAACUAAAUUAUUACCUCAAAGGUGAACCAGUCUGCUGGACUGAAGCAAAACCAAGAACAUCUGGAAUAACCAGGCUACACUCCAAACCUUGCUGGGACAUGUGAAUCUUUCGGCUUCAAUAACACUGGUAAGAAUGUGACUUGACUCUAAUCCUGCUUCUGGUAGCGGCCAAGGAUACAUGAUGAAUCCAUAGUUCAGCUGACUGCUGUGAUGAACAGUCUUUCGCUCCUAUCUGAUUCAUCCUUGUCUGUUUACACAUGGUCUUGAUAUUUAUGAUUUUGACAGUUUGUAUAAUAUGCAUUUAUCUUGUUUUGCAGAUGGCUGUCUUGGACCACUUUAAAUUUAAAAUGCCACUUUAAGGUAAGACCACAUAGCCUCAGUUAUAGUAGUCUUGUAUCUUGCAUUAAGCUGCUCGUGUAACCAAUGAUGAAAACGAUUCUGCCAUAUGAAUCCUGAUUUCACUCUUUACCGUUCCACUUUAUUCUGAGGUUACAUGAGGUUUUGGAGACUGCAUUGAAAUGACCUACCUUGGCUUUUCAGAUGGUUAAAUAACCUGCUAGAACACAGUUGUUAGUACCUGGGUAUCCAAUAGCUAACUUGUCUUAUGGUUUUGUCUUGCAAGCAGAUCAGACAAGAGCAGCCAGGCUGAAGUUGGAAUUACAAUUGGCUGAGCCAUGAAUACUCUUGGCCCCUUUGUGAUAACAUGGCACAUCUCUCUACCAGUUGUCUGAAGUCUUGAAUUAGGUAAGUAGACUGUCUACCUUAUGUCUACCUUGGGGUACAUGAUGACAUCUACUUUGAACUCUCUCCCUUAGAUUAAGAUGAAAACAAAAGUACUGAUCCCCCAGUGUAACCACUGAGCAGCUUCCAUUGUAUUCCAACACAAACUUCAUUUUUAAUUUUAAAUAUUUUUUUUCCCCACAGAUCUGAGACUUCAUAUUCAAAGUGAUCUCAAAAGGCAACUGACCAUUUAAUGUAAAGCGAACUUUUGAGCAGUGGCUUGAAGGAUCGUUCUCAAUUUAUAAUGGGUUUCUCUGAAGAGGUUAAGAGUUCUGCUUCAUGACUUGUUAUCAAAGUAAUGUUCUUUGCAAAGCUGUCAUGACUUGUGAAAUGCUGAAUUAAAUAAAGCUUACUAGAAUUCAAAUGUAAUCUUGUCUUACUGUAUCCUUUCUGAUGCUGAUCAGUGGCAUUAGCCAUCCUAAAAUC
Molecule: non-coding RNA, 12359 nt
Organism: Pelobates cultripes (western spadefoot toad)
Lineage: Eukaryota; Metazoa; Chordata; Amphibia; Anura; Pelobatidae
Source: the annotation of a GenBank genome assembly